CACAGAGGGUGCAAACGUUGCUCGGAAUUACUGGGCGUAAAGCGAGUGUAGGCGGACUUACAAGUCAGAUGUGAAAUCCCUGGGCUUAACCCAGGAACUGCAUUUGAAACUGUGAGUCUAGAGUAAUGGAGAGGAAAGUGGAAUUCCUGGUGUAGAGGUGAAAUUCGUAGAUAUCAGGAGGAACACCGGUGGCGAAGGCGGCUUUCUGGACAUUUACUGACGCUGAGACUCGAAAGCGUGGGGAGCAAACAGG
RNAcentral lists this ribosomal RNA (253 nucleotides) under uncultured bacterium. Its description in RNAcentral is "partial 16S ribosomal RNA". It matches the Rfam family "Bacterial small subunit ribosomal RNA", at positions 524 to 776 of the family's 1533-position model. The record is from RNAcentral.